GAUGAAGAACGUAGCGAAAUGCGAUACUUGGUGUGAAUUGCAGAAUCCCGUGAACCAUCGAGUCUUUGAACGCAAGUUGCGCCCGAAGCCAUCAGGUUGAGGGCACGUCUGCCUGGGCGUCACAUAUCGUUGCUCGAUGCCUAUCGCAUUGCGAUAGGACUUAGGGCGAAUGAUGGCUUCCCGUGAGCGUUGUUGCCUCGCGGUUGGUUGAAAAUCGAGUCCUUGGUAGGGUGUGCCAUGAUAGAUGGUGGUCGAGUUAGCACGAGAACGAUCAUGUGCAUGCUCCCCAAAAUAUGGCCUCUGUGACCCACACGCGUCUUUUGACGCUCAUGAUGAGACCUCAGGUCAGGCGGGGCUACCCGCUGAAUUUAAGCAUAUCAAUAAGCGGAGGA
This 392-nucleotide unclassified non-coding RNA is filed under the name soil metagenome. RNAcentral describes it as "partial contains 5.8S ribosomal RNA, internal transcribed spacer 2, and large subunit ribosomal RNA". The stretch from base 1 to 122 matches the Rfam family "5.8S ribosomal RNA", at positions 35 to 154 of the family's 154-position model. The record is from RNAcentral.